RNAcentral lists this long non-coding RNA (280 nucleotides) under Lathyrus oleraceus (garden pea). RNAcentral's name for it is "Pisum sativum (pea) long non-coding RNA (PSAT_LNC030708)". Lineage: Eukaryota; Viridiplantae; Streptophyta; Magnoliopsida; Fabales; Fabaceae. The record is from RNAcentral.
UUUGAAGUCUUUCGGGUUAUAACUUGGCUUGGGUUAGGGUAUGGAUUAUAAACAAAAACUGAAAACAAGUGGGUUUUUGGUUCAGAGUCGAUGUUACAGACUGUUUUUGUCUCUUUUAUUUGCUCGGUUUUUCUUUUUUUCUAUUUUUCUACCAAAUGCCCUUUUUCGUGCUUCUUUUUGAAUCUUCGAGUUAUAAAUUUUUCUCUUUUUCUUUUUUUUUCUUUCUCUCGAUUCAAUUUUUUUAUUUUUGUUCUCGCACUUUCUUGGGCUUUGGGAGCUU